CCUACGGGAGGCAGCAGUGAGGAAUAUUGGUCAAUGGGCGAGAGCCUGAACCAGCCAAGUCGCGUGAGGGAGUACUGCCCUAUGGGUUGUAACCCUCUUUUGUCGGGGAGCAAAAGCCGGACGUGUCCGUCUGUGAGAGUACCCGAAGAAAAAGCAUCGGCUAACUGCGUGCCAGCAGCCGCGGUAAUCCGGAGGAUGCGAGCGUUGUUCGGAUUUGUUGGGGUAAAAGGGGGCGCAGGCGGAUUUUGUAGUCAGCGGUCAAAUCGUGGGGCUCAAACCCAUCCAGCCGUUGAAACUGGGGAUCUAGAGUGUGCGAGAGGUAUGCGGAAUGCGUGGUGUCGCGGUGAAAUGCAUAGAUAUCACGCAGAACCCCGAUUGCGAAGGCAGCAUACCGGUGCACAACUGACGCUCAGGCACGAAAGCGUGGGUAUCGAACAGGAUUAGAUACCCUAGUAGUC
This 458-nucleotide ribosomal RNA is filed under the name uncultured bacterium. Its description in RNAcentral is "partial 16S ribosomal RNA". It matches the Rfam family "Bacterial small subunit ribosomal RNA", at positions 338 to 795 of the family's 1533-position model. The record is from RNAcentral.